GAUGAACGCUGGCGGCGUGCCUAAUACAUGCAAGUCGAGCGAACGGACGAGAAGCUUGCUUCUCUGAUGUUAGCGGCGGACGGGUGAGUAACACGUGGAUAACCUACCUAUAGGACUGGGAUAACUUCGGGAAACCGGAGCUAAUACCGGAUAAUAUUUUGAACCGCAUGGUUCAAAAGUGAAAGACGGUCUUGCUGUCACUUAUAGACGGAUCCGCGCUGCAUUAGCUAGUUGGUAAGGUAACGGCUUACCAAGGCAACGAUGCAUAGCCGACCUGAGAGGGUGAUCGGCCACACUGGAACUGAGACACGGUCCAGACUCCUACGGGAGGCAGCAGUAGGGAAUCUUCCGCAAUGGGCGAAAGCCUGACGGAGCAACGCCGCGUGAGUGAUGAAGGUCUUCGGAUCGUAAAACUCUGUUAUUAGGGAAGAACAUAUGUGUAAGUAACUGUGCACAUCUUGACGGUAACUAAUCAGAAAGCCACGGCUAACUACGUG
This 497-nucleotide ribosomal RNA is filed under the name uncultured bacterium. RNAcentral's name for it is "partial 16S ribosomal RNA". It matches the Rfam family "Bacterial small subunit ribosomal RNA", at positions 28 to 507 of the family's 1533-position model. The record is from RNAcentral.